GAAAGCAGAUUACUUCGGUUUGAAGCUUUCUUUGACUGAGUGGCGGACGGGUGAGUAACGCGUGGGUAACCUGCCUCAUACAGGGGGAUAACAGUUAGAAAUGACUGCUAAUACCGCAUAAGCGCACGGUUUCGCAUGGAACAGUGUGAAAAACUCCGGUGGUAUGGGAUGGACCCGCGUCUGAUUAGCUGGUUGGCGGGGUAACGGCCCACCAAGGCGACGAUCAGUAGCCGGCCUGAGAGGGUGAACGGCCACAUUGGGACUGAGACACGGCCCAAACUCCUACGGGAGGCAGCAGUGGGGAAUAUUGCACAAUGGGGGAAACCCUGAUGCAGCGACGCCGCGUGAAGGAAGAAGUAUUUCGGUAUGUAAACUUCUAUCAGCAGGGAAGAAAAUGACGGUACCUGACUAAGAAGCCCCGGCUAACUACGUGCCAGCAGCCGCGGUAAUACGUAGGGGGCAAGCGUUAUCCGGAUUUACUGGGUGUAAAGGGAGCGUAGGCGGCGAUGCAAGUCAGAAGUGAAAGCCCGGGGCUCAACUCCGGGACUGCUUUUGAAACUGUGUUGCUAGAUUGCAGGAGAGGUAAGUGGAAUUCCUAGUGUAGCGGUGAAAUGCGUAGAUAUUAGGAGGAACACCAGUGGCGAAGGCGGCUUACUGGACUGUAAAUGACGCUGAGGCUCGAAAGCGUGNGGAGCAAACAGGAUUAGAUACCCUGGUAGUCCNCGCCGU
Molecule: ribosomal RNA, 729 nt
Filed under: uncultured bacterium
Lineage: Bacteria
Description: bacterial SSU rRNA
Rfam family: Bacterial small subunit ribosomal RNA
Source: RNAcentral